Molecule: long non-coding RNA, 1813 nt
Organism: Gasterosteus aculeatus aculeatus (three-spined stickleback)
Lineage: Eukaryota; Metazoa; Chordata; Actinopteri; Perciformes; Gasterosteidae
Source: Ensembl
CUCGGGGUCUAACCAGAGAAGCCAAUAGAAUAACACUUCACGUUCCCUCGUCUCGAGUCAUUGAUCUGCUUUUUUAAUGGCUUUUUGAUUAGAUGCCUGAAAUAAGUCUGUGGGUAACACAGGAUCAUGUCCACAUAGCGCCCUUUUCUCGGGGGCCAGUGUUUGUUCCCAAUGAGGACCGAGCGUAUGUCUUUUUACUGAGUGCACCGCUCUCACCGCUUCAAAUUAGAAAAAAGCUCUCAUCUUUUCACUGAAAUGCACAGAAGCAAUUCUAGUCAACCAUUAAGUCGUUAGAGAUAUGUGGUAUGUGGUCGUCAUGGAAACAUAGGAAGGAGGAAUUAAGCGUUGCAUGAAUUCCAAAAUGAACACACAGAGGUUGCCGCGUAAAACAUCAGACGACAUAUGAAAGAGGCCCAAGUCAGAGUCAAAAAUGUACAAUUCUAUUUGAUUUGUGUGGUUUAUAAUCUUAUGAAAAAAAAGAGAUGUCACAAAGUAAUUGUAUUUCGGCCCCUUUAACCUGCACUGUGAAUACCGCAUGCUGUCGCCUGCCAGUAGCUACAGAUAAGGCCCAUUAAUUACUCCUCUCAUCUUAUUCCACAAAAGAAGACACAUAUGUGUAUUUUAUAUAUUGUCCAUCCUGAGGGGAUUCCUGUACACUAGCAGAUCAAAGCGUGUUAUCUAAAUCAGUCUCAACGUCGAGCUCAUUCAUGCCUCUUAGGUAGGUCACGAUAUGUAGAAGCAACGACCUUGGAGCCCCGGUUCCUCCGGGGCAUUCUGCUGAGAAAUGUGAGACUCAGAGCACUUACUGUCAUUGAGCCGUCCUGACUACACAAACAGUUCUCAUGCUCCCUGCAGUUGAUUGCUAAACUACAGACAUAAUAAUUGGUCCAAUAAUUGCAGAUCAGAGCUUCACUGUUGUAGAAACAUUUCACAGGAUAUUAACUACUCAGGAGGCAAAAUGAGUCAGUCAUGUGACGAGGACGAGGCUUUGUUUUGUAAUGAGUGGACUGAAAUUGUAUUUUUUUUUAAAGAGUUUGAGGAGAAAGAAAAUGAGGUAUAAUGACGUGGUAGAAGUAUCUACGACCGUCAUGAAUGAAUGACGGUAACAGUCGGACCACAUAUCCUUUCCUGCUCGGCAUGUUUGCUUAUUAGCUCAUUUGUGAAGACAACAACGACAAAGGGAUCCCGGGAUGAACAGGAUAAAAAGCCUCUACUUUCUGCCAAAUAUUACAACGCAACUCUGUGUGGCUUACUUCUAGCGGUAGUGGAGCGGAUUAGAGAUCUCUCAACAUUUGUACAACUCUCGGAUCCAAAUGAAGGACCUUUGGCCGGAGGGGAUUUGCUGAGCGGCGCUCAGAUUGUCAUCACACUCACUUUGGGGGCCUGCGAACCAAUUAGAUGAGGUUGCCGGGUGGGCUUCCAGUGGGAGAGGAGGCACAGGCGUGUGAUGUACAGUAUUUAACACUGUGACACGACGAGAUCCUCGUUGCACGCGCGGCCUGUAGGGUCACGGACGGAACCCCGGUGAUGCAGCGUGAGACGCCUACACUGUAAAAAAAAAAAAUGUUGAAAAUACGGUAAAAUACUGACACCGUAAAAAUGACGGCGUCAACGUGUAAGACAUCACGGUAUGUAUUUUUAUAAAUGUACAUUUCAGAGUUCAUGAGUGUUAAAAAAGGUUGUUUCUAAAAAAACAUUUUCUGAAGUACUUUUACAGAACUGUUGCAAAAAAAGGAAAAUACAAUACACUGUCCUGUUUUUAAGUUGUAUUGCAUUUGAAUAAGUGAGUCCUGUAUAUACCUGAGGAAUAUUU